GAUCAUGGCUCAGGAUGAACGCUAGCUACAGGCUUAACACAUGCAAGUCGAGGGGCAGCGCAGUGUAGCAAUACAUGGGCGGCGACCGGCGCACGGGUGCGUAACGCGUAUCCAACCUUCCCGUUACUCAGGGAUAGCCUUCCGAAAGGGAGAUUAAUACCUGAUGGUGUUCAAAUUCCGCAUGUUAUUUGAACUAAAGAUUCAUCGGUAACGGAUGGGGAUGCGUGACAUUAGGUAGAUGGCGGGGUAACGGCCCACCAUGCCCACGAUGUCUAGGGGUUCUGAGAGGAAGGUCCCCCACACUGGAACUGAGACACGGUCCAGACUCCUACGGGAGGCAGCAGUGAGGAAUAUUGGUCAAUGGCCGGAAGGCUGAACCAGCCAAGUAGCGUGAAGGAUGAAGGUUCUAUGGAUUGUAAACUUCUUUUAUACGGGAAUAAAACCGCCUACGUGUAGGUGCUUGUAUGUACCGUAUGAAUAAGCAUCGGCUAACUCCGUG
RNAcentral lists this ribosomal RNA (499 nucleotides) under uncultured bacterium. RNAcentral's name for it is "bacterial SSU rRNA". It matches the Rfam family "Bacterial small subunit ribosomal RNA", at positions 15 to 507 of the family's 1533-position model. The record is from RNAcentral.